Molecule: small nuclear RNA, 191 nt
Organism: Oncorhynchus tshawytscha (Chinook salmon)
Lineage: Eukaryota; Metazoa; Chordata; Actinopteri; Salmoniformes; Salmonidae
Gene: U2
Rfam family: U2 spliceosomal RNA
About the family: U2 is a small nuclear RNA (snRNA) component of the spliceosome (involved in pre-mRNA splicing). Complementary binding between U2 snRNA (in an area lying towards the 5' end but 3' to hairpin I) and the branchpoint sequence (BPS) of the intron results the bulging out of an unpaired adenosine, on the BPS, which initiates a nucleophilic attack at the intronic 5' splice site, thus starting the first of two transesterification reactions that mediate splicing.
Source: Ensembl
AUCGCUUCUCGGCCUUUUGGCUAAGAUCAAGUGUAGUAUCUGUUCUUAUCAGUUUAAUAUCUGAUACGUCCCCUAUCUGGGGACCAUAUAUUAAAUUGAUUUUUGGAAUAGGGAGAUGGAAUAGGGGCUUGCUCCGUCCACUCCACGCAUCGACCUGGUAUUGCAGUACCUCCAGGAACGGUGCACCCCUG